AACCCGUGGUACGGGCAUUUUUUAAUCAACAUCUUAAAUCAUUCCCAUACCUCAUAAAAGCUUUCUCCCUCCAUCUGUCUAAAAAUAUCAAUCUCCCUUGUUAGUUU
Non-coding RNA from Gossypium raimondii (Peruvian cotton), 107 nucleotides. The record is from Rfam. Lineage: Eukaryota; Viridiplantae; Streptophyta; Magnoliopsida; Malvales; Malvaceae.